CCCUUUAAUUGUGGGCUUGUAUGAAAGGAUAAACGAAAGCUUCCCUGUCUCCUAGUAAAAAAUUAAAAUUGUCCUUUAGGUGAAGAGACCUAAAUUAAAUCAAAGGACAAGAAGACCCCGUAGAGCUUUAUAUUAAUACUAUUUUUAAAAAUUAAUAAUAUAUAACAUCUUUAAUCAUACUAUAAUAUUUAGCUGGGGCGGCUAAGGAAAAAAAAUCUUCCAUUUCUAUAAAUAUGGUCUAAACCUAAAACUCAAUUGAUCCUUAUAAGAACAGAAAAUACAGCUACCUCGGGGAUAACAGAUUAAUUCUUCUUGAGAGUUCACAUUGACAGAAGAGUUUGACACCUCGAUGUUGGCUUAGGGUACCCAGUAGAUCAGCAACAGUCUACAUUUGGUAG
This 398-nucleotide ribosomal RNA is filed under the name Melinnopsis gardelli. RNAcentral describes it as "partial large subunit ribosomal RNA". It matches the Rfam family "Bacterial large subunit ribosomal RNA", at positions 1972 to 2574 of the family's 2925-position model. Lineage: Eukaryota; Metazoa; Annelida; Polychaeta; Terebellida; Melinnidae. The record is from RNAcentral.